This 460-nucleotide ribosomal RNA is filed under the name uncultured bacterium. Its description in RNAcentral is "partial 16S ribosomal RNA". It matches the Rfam family "Bacterial small subunit ribosomal RNA", at positions 338 to 795 of the family's 1533-position model. The record is from RNAcentral.
CCUACGGGUGGUAGCAGUGAGGAAUAUUGGUCAAUGGACGAGACUCUGAACCAGCCAAGUAGCGUGAAGGCUGACUGCCCUAUGGGUUGUAAACUUCUUUUAUAUGGGAAUAAAAUGUUCCACGUGUGGGAUUUUGUAUGUACCAUAUGAAUAAGGAUCGGCUAACUCCGUGCCAGCAGCCGCGGUAAUACGGAGGAUCCGAGCGUUAUCCGGAUUUAUUGGGUUUAAAGGGAGCGUAGGUGGAUGGUUAAGUCAGUUGUGAAAGUUUGCGGCUCAACCGUAAAAUUGCAGUUGCAAAUGGCAGGCUUGAGUACAGUAGAGGUAGGCGGAAUUCGGGGUGUAGCGGUGAAAUGCUUAGAUAUCACGAAGAACUCCGAUUGCGAAGGCAGUUCACUGGACUGCAACUGACACUGAGGCUCGAAAGUGUGGGUAUCAAACAGGAUUAGAUACCCCAGUAGUC